RNAcentral lists this ribosomal RNA (857 nucleotides) under uncultured bacterium. RNAcentral describes it as "SSU rRNA". It matches the Rfam family "Bacterial small subunit ribosomal RNA", at positions 524 to 1381 of the family's 1533-position model. The record is from RNAcentral.
UACGGGAGUGGCAAGCGUUAUCCGGAAUUAUUGGGCGUAAAGCGUCCGCAGGCGGUCUUGUAAGUCUGUCGUUAAAGCGUGAAGCUUAACUCCAUUUCAGCGAUGGAAACUGCAAGACUAGAGUGUGGUAGGGGCAGAGGGAAUUCCCGGUGUAGCGGUGAAAUGCGUAGAUAUCGGGAAGAACACCAGUGGCGAAGGCGCUCUGCUGGGCCAUAACUGACGCUCAUGGACGAAAGCCAGGGGAGCGAAAGGGAUUAGAUACCCCUGUAGUCCUGGGCGUAAACGAUGAACACUAGGUGUCGGGGGAAUCGACCCCCUCGGUGUCGUAGCCAACGCGUUAAGUGUUCCGCCUGGGGAGUACGCACGCAAGUGUGAAACUCAAAGGAAUUGACGGGGGCCCGCACAAGCGGUGGAGUAUGUGGUUUAAUUCGAUGCAACGCGAAGAACCUUACCAGGGUUUGACAUCCUGCGAAUCUCUUGGAAACGAGAGAGUGCCUUCGGGAACGCAGUGACAGGUGGUGCAUGGCCGUCGUCAGCUCGGGUCGUGAGAUGUUGGGUUAAGUCCCGCAACGAGCGCAACCCACGUCGUUAGUAGCCAGCAUUCAGUUGGGCACUCUAGCGAGCCCCCCGGUGAUAAACCGGAGGAAGGUGUGGAUGACGUCAAGUCAUCAUGCCCCUUACAUCCUGGGCUACACACGUACUACAAUGCUACGGACAAAGGGCAGCAAACUCGCGAGAGCUAGCAAAUCCCAUAAACCGUGGCUCAGUUCAGAUCGUAGGCUGCAACUCGCCUACGUGAAGGAGGAAUCGCUAGUAAUCGCAGGUCAGCAUACUGCGGUGAAUACGUUCCCGGGCCA